GCCGAUUUGUCCAGCGCCGCCGAGGGCCCGCACUCCGGGGGUGGGGUCGCCAGGGCCCCAUCCAGCUGCGGGAGAGCCCUCUUCCGCCUACCUGGUGAGCCGCAAAGUCGGAGGCCUUGGGAAACACCUGAAGGCCCGGGCUGGCCCUGGUACGUCGUCUUCCUGGAGCUUCCCGACGUCCCAUCAGUGUGCAUCGCGCUGAGAAAACAUCUGGACACCAUUAUUAGCCUCUCAGUGAAAACGUCGGAACAAAAACAUCGAAAGCUGUACGACGGGGAAGGAAAGGUAACCAGCUGGCACCGGGAUGGAUGCAGAAAGCUAUGUGGAAAGGAAAGAGAGAAAAAUGAACUGAACAGUUACUGAAUGCUUACCAUGUAGUAGACAAAUACCGUUAUAUCAUCCUCAACUUCUUUAUCAACGAGUAGAAAACAAAGUUCACUGGAAUCAUGCAACCUCUCAAACCCAUCGAACAAGCGUGUCCACCUCACAGGACGGGUGACGUCUCAGGCCCACUUAGUGUCUGCGGCAUCCUCCGUGGAAAUGCUCGGACUUCAGUGAGAUCUAACCGGUGUGUUCUCCACUUCAACUCAAGCUGACCAGCGCUCCCCUCCGCUUACCUGGUCAGGAUGUGAAGAAGACGAUGCAGGCAUCGCAACAAUUUUUACUGCAUGUUAAGCCACCUGACGCCCCCUCCGUCCUGUUAAAUUAUUCUCCCAGUGACUGUACAACUUCGACCUCUGUGGAAAUUCUUGCUCCUCCCUCUCAACUGAACUUUCCUGCUGCUUAACUGAGACCUCGAGACUCAGGGAACAAUCCUUCAUCUUAUCAUUCCCUCUCCUGUUCAUUUAUCUUAUCUCUGCAGGCAGCUUUCUCUCAUUCCCUCCACUCUCAGAGAAAGUUGUAUGGUCGUUCCUGCUGCAUUUUGAGGUCUCUUUGCAGAGCUAGACUAUAUUUGACUUCAGCUAGGCACAGGAAAGCUCCAGGUAUGUAUUUAUUUGUUUAUUUGGAGCGUACGAAAAUGAUACAAAUCAACCGUAUUUUUAUACCAGUAGCAAACAACUAUGCAUUAAAAUGAAAAACAUCUUUUUAUAUUUA
Phacochoerus africanus (Common warthog) is the source of this 1095-nucleotide long non-coding RNA. RefSeq lists it as uncharacterized. Lineage: Eukaryota; Metazoa; Chordata; Mammalia; Artiodactyla; Suidae. The transcript has 3 exons. The record is from RefSeq and is a predicted model, not a curated record.